RNAcentral lists this ribosomal RNA (457 nucleotides) under uncultured bacterium. Its description in RNAcentral is "bacterial SSU rRNA". It matches the Rfam family "Bacterial small subunit ribosomal RNA", at positions 343 to 791 of the family's 1533-position model. The record is from RNAcentral.
UGGAGGCAGCAGUAGGGAAUCUUGCGCAAUGGGCGAAAGCCUGACGCAGCAACGCCGCGUGAGUGAUGAAGGUCUUCGGAUCGUAAAGCUCUGUCGGCAGGAAAGAUGGGGAACGUGGCCAAUAUCCACGGGCCCUGACGGUACCUGCAAAGGAAGCACCGGCUAACUCUGUGCCAGCAGCCGCGGUAAGACAGAGGGUGCAAGCGUUGUUCGGAAUCAUUGGGCGUAAAGGGCGCGUAGGCGGCACCGUAAGUCACGUGUGAAAUCCCAGGGCUUAACCCUGGAAGUGCGCGUGAUACUGCGGAGCUUGAGUCUCGGAGAGGAUAGUGGAAUUCCCAGUGUAGAGGUGAAAUUCGUAGAUAUUGGGAGGAAUACCGGUGGCGAAGGCGACUAUCUGGACGAAGACUGACGCUGAGGCGCGAAAGCGUGGGGAGCAAACAGGAUUAGAUACCCGAGU